RNAcentral lists this ribosomal RNA (411 nucleotides) under Triticum aestivum (bread wheat). RNAcentral's name for it is "partial small subunit ribosomal RNA". Lineage: Eukaryota; Viridiplantae; Streptophyta; Magnoliopsida; Poales; Poaceae. The record is from RNAcentral.
AUGGAUGCAUGGAGAGGUCCAGGAGCAGACAACACUCACCAGGCUAUAUUUGAUGCAUAUGGAGCUUAUCUUCAUGGUUCUCAGGGCACCAAUAUAAGCCAACAACAACAAUGGUUAAGUUCUGCUUCUCUGAAUCAAAUGCCAUAUCAUGCAUACCCCUGGAUGCAAUACCCAGUGUAUGUUGCUGCUGAUGACAAUACAAUGCAAGGGAAUGACCAAAACAAUGUGAGCUUUCAUACAAACAUGAGUGGAGACACUUCAAAGGGCAAGUCCACUCAAAUGUCUCCACCACUCCAACACCCUGUAGAGACCAUGGUGCAUGAUGCCCCCAUAUCAUACAUGCAGCUACUCCUUGCUGCUGAACAAGAGGGGCUAGAUACGGAUCCUCACAAUCGCAAGAAGAUCACCUAG